RNAcentral lists this ribosomal RNA (451 nucleotides) under uncultured bacterium. RNAcentral's name for it is "partial 16S ribosomal RNA". It matches the Rfam family "Bacterial small subunit ribosomal RNA", at positions 329 to 794 of the family's 1533-position model. The record is from RNAcentral.
UGCCAGACUCCUACGGGAGGCAGCAGUGGGGAAUAUUGGGCAAUGGGCGAAAGCCUGACCCAGCAAUGCCGCGUGAAUGAAGAAGGUCUUAGGAUUGUAAAAUUCUGUCCUAUGGGAAGAAACAAAUGACGGUACCAUAGGAGGAAGCCCCGGCUAACUACGUGCCAGCAGCCGCGGUAAUACGUAUGGAGCAAGCGUUAUCCGGAUUUACUGGGUGUAAAGGGAGCGUAGGCGGCCUGCCAAGUCUGAUGUGAAAUGCCGGGGCUCAACCCCGGGGCUGCAUUGGAAACUGACAGGCUGGAGUGUCGGAGAGGCAGGCGGAAUUCCUAGUGUAGCGGUGAAAUGCGUAGAUAUUAGGAGGAACACCAGUGGCGAAGGCGGCCUGCUGGACGAUGACUGACGCUGAGGCUCGAAAGCGUGGGGAGCAAACAGGAUUAGAUACCCUGGUACA